Molecule: regulatory RNA element, 99 nt
Organism: Paenibacillus wynnii
Lineage: Bacteria; Bacillati; Bacillota; Bacilli; Caryophanales; Paenibacillaceae
Rfam family: Purine riboswitch aptamer
About the family: Riboswitches are metabolite binding domains within certain messenger RNAs that serve as precision sensors for their corresponding targets. Allosteric rearrangement of mRNA structure is mediated by ligand binding, and this results in modulation of gene expression.
Source: Rfam
AAAAUUGAAUAGUCCUUUUUUCGUAUAUCCUUAAUAAUUGGUUUAAGGGUCUCUACCGGGAACCGUAAAUUUCUGGCUACGAAAAUAUGCUCAGGCAUA